This 1095-nucleotide ribosomal RNA is filed under the name Triticum aestivum (bread wheat). RNAcentral's name for it is "partial small subunit ribosomal RNA". The record is from RNAcentral. Lineage: Eukaryota; Viridiplantae; Streptophyta; Magnoliopsida; Poales; Poaceae.
AUGUUAGAACAAAACAUCUCUACUUUGUGCUGGAAUGUCCGUGGAUUAAACUGCCCUGAGCGUAGAGCCACUGUCCAUGAAACAAUUGCUGCAUCUUCCUGUCAUCUGGUCUGCCUACAGGAAACUAAGCUCCAAGUGAUUGAUCCUUUUACCGCUGCUUAUCUUGGUGGCCAACGUCUGAAGAAUUUCGCCUACAAGCCUGCUGAUGGUACUAAGGGAGGCAUCUUGCUGUUGUGGGAUGAAGCGGUGAUUGAUAUAUCCAACGUCCAGCUCGAUCAUCUCUCGGCGUUUGUUGCAAUCAAGAAUUCUUUACAUAACAAAUCUUUCAAGCUUACCACUGUCUACGGGCCAACUAGAAGCAUUCACAAAGAUGCUUUUUUCCUGGAGCUGUCAUCUCAGAAACCAUUGCCAGGAACAAAGUGGCUGGUUAACGGCGACUUCAACCAAAUAUACCGGGCUCGAGAUAAAAACCGCACCAAUGUGGACCGUAGUCGCCUAGUUAGGUUUCGCAACACCUUAAACUAUUGCGAGCUCAAGGAGAUCCAUCUACAGAAUCGAAGAUUCACAUGGAGCAAUGAAAGAAACAACCCAACGCUCAGUAAACUGGACAGUUUUUUUUGCAAUGAGGACUGGGACAUCGAAUUUGCCAAUCACAUUCUUCAUGCCCUCUCCUCCUCACUUUCGGACCACUGCCCGCUUUUACUCGCUAAUGAGGGUGGUCCCAAGCGGCCGAAGUCCUUCCGGUUCGAGAACCAUUGGACCAAGAUGUCGGGUUUCCAAAAGACGGUCAAGGAUGCUUGGGACGAAGAAUCAACACAUUCCGAGCCAUACCAGAGGCUGUUUCAUAAGCUCAAAACUACUAGCCAAAGAUUACGCUCCUGGAGCAAGUCCCUUUUCGCCAAAGUUAAGAUCCAAUUACAUAUGGCGCUUGAAGUUAUUCUGCAUCUUGAUCUGGCUAUGGAUCAAAGAGAGCUUUCCCAGCAGGAAUACGAUCUUCGGAAAAGACUAAAGAGAAAGAUCAUCGCGUGGGCUGUGCUUGAGAAAUCUAGGAAGAGGCAAAAUUCCAGAAUCACCAAUUUGAAGGAGGGUGAUGCU